AGGACGAACGCUGGCGGCGUGCUUAACACAUGCAAGUGGAGCGACGAACCAGGGCUUGCCCUGGGGCAGAACCGCGAACGGGUGAGUAACACGUGGGUUACCUGCCUCGAUGACUGGGACAACCCGGGGAAACUCGGGCUAAUACCGGAUGUGCCCGCAAGGGGAAAGGAAGCUUCGGCCUCCGCAUCGAGAUGGGCCCGCGGCCCAUUAGCUUGUUGGUGAGGUAACGGCUCACCAAGGCUUCGAUGGGUAGCUGGUCUGAGAGGACGAUCAGCCACACUGGGACUGAGACACGGCCCAGACUCCUACGGGAGGCAGCAGUGGGGAAUCUUGCGCAAUGCGCGAAAGCGUGACGCAGCAACGCCGCGUGGGGGAAGAAGGCUUUCGGGUUGUAAACCCCGUUUCAGUUGGGACGAAGCUUCGCCGGUGAAUAGCCGGCCGGAGUGACGGUACCUUCACAAGAAGCACCGGCUAACUACGUGCCAGCAGCCGCGGU
RNAcentral lists this ribosomal RNA (496 nucleotides) under uncultured bacterium. RNAcentral describes it as "SSU rRNA". It matches the Rfam family "Bacterial small subunit ribosomal RNA", at positions 26 to 521 of the family's 1533-position model. The record is from RNAcentral.